CCUGCCUCACACUGGGGGACAACAGUUGGAAACGACUGCUAAUACCGCAUAAGCGCACAGCAUCGCAUGAUGCAGUGUGAAAAACUCCGGUGGUGUGAGAUGGACCCGCGUCUGAUUAGAUAGUUGGUGAGAUAACAGCCCACCAAGGCGAGGAUGCGUAGCCGAUCUGAGAGGAUGAACGGCCACACUGGAACUGAGACACGGUCCAGACUCCUACGGGAGGCAGCAGUAGGGAGUUUUCGGCAAUGGGGGGAACCCUGACCGAGCAACGCCGCGUGAGUGAUGAAGGUCUUCGGAUUGUAAAGCUCUGUUAUAAGGGAAGAAUGAUAGCUAGAGGAAAUGCUAGUUGUUUGACGGUACCUUAUUAGAAAGCCACGGCUAACUACGUGCCAGCAGCCGCGGUAAUACGUAGGUGGCAAGCGUUAUCCGGAAUUAUUGGGCGUAAAGAGUGAGUAGGCGGCAGGAUAAGUUUGAAGUGAAAGCGUGGGGCUCAACCCCAUACAGCUCCAAAAACUGUUCAGCUAGAGUGCGAGAGAGGUAAAUGGAAUUCCAUGUGUAGCGGUGAAAUGCGUAAAUAUAUGGAGGAACACCAGUGGCGAAGGCGAUUUACUAGCUCGAUACUGACGCUCAGUCACGAAAGCGUGGGGGGCAAAUAGGAUUAAAUACCCUAGUAUUCCACGCUGUAAACGAUGACCACUA
Molecule: ribosomal RNA, 699 nt
Filed under: uncultured bacterium
Lineage: Bacteria
Description: bacterial SSU rRNA
Rfam family: Bacterial small subunit ribosomal RNA
Source: RNAcentral